RNAcentral lists this unclassified non-coding RNA (887 nucleotides) under Manduca sexta (tobacco hornworm). RNAcentral describes it as "uncharacterized LOC119190840, transcript variant X1". The record is from RNAcentral. Lineage: Eukaryota; Metazoa; Arthropoda; Insecta; Lepidoptera; Sphingidae.
CAGUCCGUUCCACAAUCAACAAGGCUAUCGCCGCAUUAUAUCCCAAAAACUCUAUUACGUGUCUAUUUAUAAGUUUAAUAAUUUUAGACAACCUUUUUCUUCUGAUUCAUUGUUACCAUGGUUACCAUGCCAUCAUAUUGACGUCUUGAUUCCAUAUAUAUUAUAAUUCUCUUUGUCUUGAUUGAUAACCUAAGUCAAAUUGAUUGGCCGGCUGUUUUGAAUAUAUAAUAUAAUGGUCUAAAAAUAAAUAACAACAAUCAUGAAAUUCAUUUUGUUAUCCACCAGACAGUACAAACAUCCUGAAAUACAUUUUAAAUGAUAAAAUUCCUCAAGACAGUCAAAAUAAUGGAUGAUAAAAAAGAACGUGUUAUCAAAUCAGUAUCAAUACCUCCGCCAGUGCUCCUGAUGACGAAAGUCCUGAAGCAUAUAAAAAAAUCAUUAUGUUAAUCGUGCAAACGAAUAUGUUGCCAUUCGAGUCGUUGGAAUUUCCCCAAAAAUGUUUAAUAUGCCAAGAGCUCGACUUGACAGAGAUGGUGUUUCUAUGCGUCGCGUGCACUUUCAUUAUUUUACUUCUCAUGCAGACCUGUCGCAUCAUAUCCUACGGCUCCGAGGACGUCACAUUGUAGAAUGGAUCAAGGCAAUGAGCUGUUGUUGAAUCUCGUGCAAUGUUACAAUGGCCAUCCUGAUAGUAAGUGAACAUUGAAGUGACCAGAAUUCUUCUGCAAUAUUUUUUCCACUAAACGGGUUAAUAAAUACGCCGUGUCAAUAAAAUAAAUUAAACCGUAAGGAAGAAUUGAAUUGGGAGGGAAGAGUUUUAUGAGAGUUUCGGCAAUGGUGCGUAACUAUUUGCCAUCAACAGUCGCGGAAAAUUCAUUAUGUCAGUUCAG